This is a non-coding RNA of Cinara cedri, 606 nucleotides long. NCBI's taxonomy places the organism in Eukaryota, Metazoa, Arthropoda, Insecta, Hemiptera, Aphididae. The record is from the annotation of a GenBank genome assembly.
AUCCCGCGUGGACUUGACGCGCGGCGGUAAUUUUCCCGUGCGUCCGUGUCUCGAUGGUUCUGGAUCGCCGCGAUUCAAAACACAUCACACCUCUUUGAUUUGAAUUUCCGUUUUCGAGUUUUUCAAUUGGGCGAGAAGGGGGAGGGGGGGGAGGGCGUUCGCAGAUGUCGGUAUUGUCGUCAGAAGCCGAGCAAUCUCGAAAUCGCAGGCCAGGUGACAAAUUAUAACGACGUAUUACAGACGACCUACUUGUCUUAUAAAACCUAUAAUAACCUAUAGCCCAGUGUUUCCCGAUCUUUUUUUUUUUCUUUUCGACAGUAUGGACCGCUUAGCCGGAAGACUUGAGAGAGGCUUAUUUUUCGGUCCGAUGACUUUUUUCAGAGACUUGUUCAAUUUAUAAUAUUGAUUACGGAUUAUCGUUGUCCGGAACAACACGUGUAUCGUCCACUUUUGAUUUUUCACCGGGCACACACCGAAUUUCUAUUAUCGAACAGAAAAUCGUAUGCGCCGUCGUCGGUUGGGAACCACUGCGCCAUAGCCCGACCGCAUAAUAACAAUAAUAAUAACGUGCCGUCGACACGUUUGUCAGCUUUUUUUCGUCAACGC